This is a non-coding RNA of Podarcis lilfordi (Lilford's wall lizard), 73 nucleotides long. The record is from the annotation of a GenBank genome assembly. Lineage: Eukaryota; Metazoa; Chordata; Lepidosauria; Squamata; Lacertidae.
AGGCCAUUAGCUCAGUGGUAGAGCAUCUGUUUUGCAUGGAGAUGGUCCGGGUUUCAAUCUCCAGGUAGGUCUG